RNAcentral lists this ribosomal RNA (254 nucleotides) under uncultured bacterium. RNAcentral's name for it is "partial 16S ribosomal RNA". It matches the Rfam family "Bacterial small subunit ribosomal RNA", at positions 524 to 776 of the family's 1533-position model. The record is from RNAcentral.
UACGAAGGGGGCUAGCGUUGCUCGGAAUCACUGGGCGUAAAGCGCACGUAGGCGGACUCUUAAGUCAGGGGUGAAAUCCUGGAGCUCAACUCCAGAACUGCCUUCGAUACUGGCGAUCUUGGAGUCCGGGAGAGGUGAGUGGAACUGCGAGUGUAGAGGUGAAAUUCGUAGAUAUUCGCAAGAACACCAGUGGCGAAGGCGGCUCACUGGCCCGGUACUGACGCUGAGGUGCGAAAGCGUGGGGAGCAAACAGG